This 255-nucleotide long non-coding RNA is filed under the name Rattus norvegicus (Norway rat). Its description in RNAcentral is "long non-coding RNA NONRATT019646". The record is from RNAcentral. Lineage: Eukaryota; Metazoa; Chordata; Mammalia; Rodentia; Muridae.
GAGAGAGCCUUCUAGCAAAGCACGCUGCCGAGAAGCAGCAUCUCUCUGAGGUCUACGAGGGGACCCAGUCACAGCUCAGGUCUGACCUGGAUAAGCUGAACAAGGAGGUGGCUGCUGUGCAGGAGUGCUACCUGGAAGUGUGCAGAGAGAAGGAUGAGCUGGAAUCCACUCUCAGGAAGACCAUGGAGAAGGCUCAGGAGCAGACGAGACAGCUUUUGGAAGACAGAGAAGAGCAUGUACGCAAACUGAAGCUAG